AUAGCGUAUAUUAAAGUUGUUGCGGUUAAAAAGCUCGUAGUUGAAUCUGUGUGCCACGCUGUCGGUUCAUCGCUCGCGAUGUUUAACUGACAUGAUUGUGGGACGUCCUACCGGUGGGCUUAGCUCCUCACGGGGCGGUCCAGCUAAUAUCCCAUCGCGGUGCUCUUCAUCGAGUGUCGAGGUGGGCCGGUACGUUUACUUUGAACAAAUUAGAGUGCUCAAAGCAGGCUAUGAUCGCCUGAAUACUGUGUGCAUGGAAUAAUGGAAUAGGACCUCGGUUCUAUUUUGUUGGUUUUCGGAACCCCGAGGUAAUGAUUAAUAGGGACAGAUGGGGGCAUUCGUAUUGCGACGUUAGAGGUGAAAUUCUUGGAUCGUCGCAAGACGAACAGAAG
RNAcentral lists this ribosomal RNA (392 nucleotides) under uncultured eukaryote. RNAcentral describes it as "SSU rRNA". It matches the Rfam family "Eukaryotic small subunit ribosomal RNA", at positions 594 to 945 of the family's 1831-position model. The record is from RNAcentral.